RNAcentral lists this ribosomal RNA (465 nucleotides) under Vreelandella stevensii. RNAcentral describes it as "partial 16S ribosomal RNA". It matches the Rfam family "Bacterial small subunit ribosomal RNA", at positions 338 to 795 of the family's 1533-position model. Lineage: Bacteria; Pseudomonadati; Pseudomonadota; Gammaproteobacteria; Oceanospirillales; Halomonadaceae. The record is from RNAcentral.
CCUACGGGUGGCAGCAGUGGGGAAUAUUGGACAAUGGGGGGAACCCUGAUCCAGCCAUGCCGCGUGUGUGAAGAAGGCCCUCGGGUUGUAAAGCACUUUCAGUGAGGAAGAACGCCUGGUGGUUAAUACCCAUCAGGAAAGACAUCACUCACAGAAGAAGCACCGGCUAACUCCGUGCCAGCAGCCGCGGUAAUACGGAGGGUGCGAGCGUUAAUCGGAAUUACUGGGCGUAAAGCGCGCGUAGGUGGCUUGAUAAGCCGGUUGUGAAAGCCCCGGGCUCAACCUGGGAACGGCAUCCGGAACUGUCAAGCUAGAGUGCAGGAGAGGAAGGUAGAAUUCCCGGUGUAGCGGUGAAAUGCGUAGAGAUCGGGAGGAAUACCAGUGGCGAAGGCGGCCUUCUGGACUGACACUGACACUGAGGUGCGAAAGCAUGGGUAGCAAACAGGAUUAGAUACCCUGGUAGUC